CAUUGCUGCUAUUUCUACCUAAAUUUCAAGUAAAAAAGAAAUAAUCAGAAAAAUCUGGAAAGGAUUUGGUGGAAAAUGAGUUUUAAGAUAAAAACUUUGAUGCUAUCUCUAAAUUACAUAUAGCAGCAAACAUACUUUAACUGGCAUGUGUUUACAUCACCAGAAAGUUAUAAUGGGUGAUCCUAAAGAACUUUCUGAGUUAUCAGAUAAAAUGUUCUUAUAUUCGAUAUAGCUUUACUUACAUAUUAGAUUUCAGAUACCCAUAAACUUAUCCAUUAAACUGGGAAGAAAUAUUUCUGAACUUUUUUCCUCAGAAUUAUUUUACCAUGAAACUGUAUUUAUGGAACAAGCUCUGAUCAUAAAGUAUUUAUUGCUUUAAUAUUUUUGUUAGAUUUCACUUU
This 401-nucleotide long non-coding RNA is filed under the name Bos taurus (domestic cattle). RNAcentral's name for it is "long non-coding RNA NONBTAT001471". Lineage: Eukaryota; Metazoa; Chordata; Mammalia; Artiodactyla; Bovidae. The record is from RNAcentral.